RNAcentral lists this non-coding RNA (30 nucleotides) under Rattus norvegicus (Norway rat). Lineage: Eukaryota; Metazoa; Chordata; Mammalia; Rodentia; Muridae. The record is from RNAcentral.
UGCUGAAGGAUCCUUUGAGCCCUGGGCUGC